UAAUACGGAGGGUGCGAGCGUUGUCCGGAAUCACUGGGCGUAAAGGGCGCGUAGGUGGCUCGUGCAAGGGGGCGGUGAAAGCCCGGGGCUCAACCCCGGGUCUGCCGGACCGACUGCGGAGCUUGAGCACACUAGGGGCAAGUGGAAUUCCGGGUGUAGCGGUGGAAUGCGUAGAGAUCCGGAAGAACACCGGUGGCGAAGGCGGCUUGCUGGGGUGUGACUGACACUGAUGCGCGACAGCGUGGGGAGCAAACAGGAUUAGAUACCCUGGUAGUCCACGCCGUAAACGAUGGGUACUAGGUGCUCGGGGGAGCGACCCCUUGAGUGCCGUCGCUAACGCAUUAAGUACCCCGCCUGGGGAGUACGGCCGCAAGGCUG
Molecule: ribosomal RNA, 378 nt
Filed under: uncultured bacterium
Lineage: Bacteria
Description: bacterial SSU rRNA
Rfam family: Bacterial small subunit ribosomal RNA
Source: RNAcentral